UUUUAGGCUUAGGCUUAGGCUUGGUCUUAGGCUUAGGCCUAGGGUUAGGUUUAGUCAUAGUCUGAGGCCGAGGCUUAGGCUUAGAUUUAGGCUUAGUAUUAGGGUUUGGGUUAGGCUUAGGCUU
Caenorhabditis elegans is the source of this 124-nucleotide non-coding RNA. NCBI's taxonomy places the organism in Eukaryota, Metazoa, Nematoda, Chromadorea, Rhabditida, Rhabditidae. The record is from Ensembl.